GUGGGGAAUAUUGGACAAUGGGGGGAACCCUGAUCCAGCCAUGCCGCGUGUGUGAAGAAGGCCUUUUGGUUGUAAAGCACUUUAAGCGAGGAGGAGGCUACCGAGAUUAAUACUCUUGGAUAGUGGACGUUACUCGCAGAAUAAGCACCGGCUAACUCUGUGCCAGCAGCCGCGGUAAUACAGAGGGUGCAAGCGUUAAUCGGAUUUACUGGGCGUAAAGCGCGCGUAGGUGGCCAAUUAAGUCGAAUGUGAAAUCCCCGAGCUUAACUUGGGAAUGGCAUUCGAUACUGGUUGGCUAGAGUAUGGGAGAGGAUGGUAGAAUUCCAGGUGUAGCGGUGAAAUGCGUAGAGAUCUGGAGGAAUACCGAUGGCGAAGGCAGCCAUCUGGCCUAAUACUGACACUGAGGUGCGAAAGCAUGGGGAGCAAACAGGAUUAGAAACCCCAGUAGUCC
RNAcentral lists this ribosomal RNA (451 nucleotides) under uncultured bacterium. RNAcentral describes it as "partial 16S ribosomal RNA". It matches the Rfam family "Bacterial small subunit ribosomal RNA", at positions 354 to 796 of the family's 1533-position model. The record is from RNAcentral.